CCAUUAAAUACGCCGAAUCCUGGACAGGUACGGAGGACCCUUUCAUUUGGGGUGAAGCGCAGUAGCGCAGGGCUAAGCCUGGCCCUAACCCGGCAGCUAACUCCGGAGGCGACGAGAGGCGGUUCG
RNAcentral lists this small RNA (126 nucleotides) under Sporomusa malonica. RNAcentral describes it as "c-di-AMP sequence". It matches the Rfam family "c-di-AMP riboswitch aptamer (ydaO/yuaA leader)". From Rfam's summary of the family: This family represents a conserved RNA structure found upstream of the ydaO and yuaA genes in Bacillus subtilis and related genes in other bacteria. The ydaO/yuaA element is thought to act as a genetic "off" switch for the ydaO and yuaA genes in its native state. It is believed that the element may be triggered during osmotic shock leading to activation of ydaO, a predicted amino acid transporter gene, and members of the yuaA-yubG operon which code for KtrA and KtrB K+ transporters. Lineage: Bacteria; Bacillati; Bacillota; Negativicutes; Selenomonadales; Sporomusaceae. The record is from Rfam by way of RNAcentral.